This 425-nucleotide ribosomal RNA is filed under the name uncultured bacterium. RNAcentral's name for it is "bacterial SSU rRNA". It matches the Rfam family "Bacterial small subunit ribosomal RNA", at positions 359 to 776 of the family's 1533-position model. The record is from RNAcentral.
GAAUAUUGCGCAAUGGGCGAAAGCCUGACGCAGCGACGCCGCGUGGAGGACGAAGGUCUUCGGAUCGUAAACUCCUGUCGAGCGGGACGAAGCCGGGGCGGUGAAUAGCCGCUUCGGUUGACGGUACCGCUAAAGGACGCCCCGGCUAACUCCGUGCCAGCCGCCGCGGUAAUACGGAGGGGGCCAGCGUUGUUCGGAAGCCUUGGGCGUAAAGGGCGCGUAGGCGGCUUUGUAAGUCCGUUGUGAAAUCCCUCGGCUCAACCGAGGAACUGCGACGGAUACUGCUUGGCUUGAGUUCCGGAGAGGGUAGCGGAAUUCCCAGUGUAGCGGUGAAAUGCGUAGAUAUUGGGAGGAACAUCGGUGGCGAAGGCGGCUACCUGGACGGGUACUGACGCUGAGGCGCGAAAGCUAGGGGAGCAAACAGG